Molecule: non-coding RNA, 148 nt
Organism: Gorilla gorilla gorilla (western lowland gorilla)
Lineage: Eukaryota; Metazoa; Chordata; Mammalia; Primates; Hominidae
Rfam family: Metazoan signal recognition particle RNA
About the family: The signal recognition particle (SRP) is a universally conserved ribonucleoprotein.
Source: Rfam
GCUGGGCGUGGUGGCACGCGCCUGUAAUCCCAGCUACUUGGGAGGCUGAGGCAGGAGAAUCGUUUGAACCCAGGAGACGGAGGCUGCAGUGAGCGGACAUUGCAUCACUGUACUCCAGCCUGGGUGACAGAGUGAGACCCUGUCUCAA